This 76-nucleotide transfer RNA is filed under the name Pseudoalteromonas piscicida. RNAcentral's name for it is "tRNA-His". It matches the Rfam family "tRNA". Rfam says of the family: Transfer RNA (tRNA) molecules are approximately 80 nucleotides in length. Their secondary structure includes four short double-helical elements and three loops (D, anti-codon, and T loops). Lineage: Bacteria; Pseudomonadati; Pseudomonadota; Gammaproteobacteria; Alteromonadales; Pseudoalteromonadaceae. RNAcentral also lists the same sequence under 58 other names. The record is from RNAcentral.
GCGGCUGUAGCUCAGUUGGUAGAGCCCUGGAUUGUGAUUCCGGUUGUCGUGGGUUCAAGUCCCAUCAGUCGCCCCA